Molecule: ribosomal RNA, 253 nt
Filed under: uncultured bacterium
Lineage: Bacteria
Description: partial 16S ribosomal RNA
Rfam family: Bacterial small subunit ribosomal RNA
Source: RNAcentral
UACAGAGGGUGCGAGCGUUAAUCGGAAUUACUGGGCGUAAAGCGCGCGUAGGCGGCUUUUCAAGUCGAUUGUGAAAUCCCCGGGCUUAACCUGGGAACUGCAGUCGAGACUGUCUAGCUAGAGUAUGGGAGAGGGAAGUGGAAUUUCAGGUGUAGCGGUGAAAUGCGUAGAUAUCCGAAGGAACAUCAGUGGCGAAAGCGACUUCCUGGACCAAUACUGACGCUCAUGUGCGAAAGCGUGGGGAGCAAACAGG